UUCCGACCUGAGCUCAGUUGUGAUUACCUGCUGAACUUAAGCAUAUCAGUAAGCAGAGGAAAAGAAA
This 67-nucleotide ribosomal RNA is filed under the name Ditylenchus dipsaci. RNAcentral describes it as "partial 28S ribosomal RNA". It matches the Rfam family "Eukaryotic large subunit ribosomal RNA", at positions 1 to 64 of the family's 3401-position model. Lineage: Eukaryota; Metazoa; Nematoda; Chromadorea; Rhabditida; Anguinidae. The record is from RNAcentral.